RNAcentral lists this ribosomal RNA (253 nucleotides) under uncultured bacterium. RNAcentral's name for it is "partial 16S ribosomal RNA". It matches the Rfam family "Bacterial small subunit ribosomal RNA", at positions 524 to 776 of the family's 1533-position model. The record is from RNAcentral.
GACGAACCGUGCAAACGUUAUUCGGAAUCACUGGGCAUAAAGGGCGCGUAGGCGGGCUGUCAAGUCUGGGGUGAAAUGCCGCGGCUCAACCGUGGAACUGCCUUAGAUACUGACGGCCUCGAGGGAGGUAGGGGCGUGCGGAACUGUAGGUGGAGCGGUGAAAUGCGUUGAUAUCUACAGGAACUCCGGUGGCGAAAGCGGCGCGCUGGACCUCUUCUGACGCUGAGGCGCGAAAGCUAGGGGAGCAAACGGG